CUUUUCAGACUAUUUCAUACAAUUCUCUGAUAUGACAACCAUGUGCAUCUGUGCUUGGGCGUGUGGGUGUGGGUGUGAUGAUAGGAAUCAAGUAGAGGCCUUCAUGUACAUUCGAGUCUUUACUAACUAAAGAGAAUGUGGUAGAUACGGUGGGUGAGUAACCAGAAGAAGCACAGUAAACUAUAGGAAGUGCCACAGAUGUAACUAUGAAAACAGUGAGUAACUGUGUGAAUAACGAGGGUUUUCCUU
This 249-nucleotide long non-coding RNA is filed under the name Fukomys damarensis (Damara mole-rat). Its description in RNAcentral is "lncRNA (ENSFDAG00000024348.1)". Lineage: Eukaryota; Metazoa; Chordata; Mammalia; Rodentia; Bathyergidae. The record is from RNAcentral.